Non-coding RNA from Odocoileus virginianus texanus, 329 nucleotides. Lineage: Eukaryota; Metazoa; Chordata; Mammalia; Artiodactyla; Cervidae. The record is from RefSeq and is a predicted model, not a curated record.
GCACCAUAAACUAAAAGAUCAUGACAAUUUCAAGGGCCACACACGAGCGAGAAGAGAAUCUGGAGUCAAUGAACACUGAGGAUAAAGGAAAGCAAGGAUUUGCUGGUUAGCAACUUCUGAACCAUCAGAUGAUGACAAGGACCAUACUGACAUAAUCCUGGAGAGGCCACACCAAGGUGCAUAUCAACACCACAGCACUCAAGUCACUCUUUGUCUCUGGGACUCUACCUGGCCACCACACGUCAGUCAACUACUCUUCCAGCAGCAAAGACCCCACAGAAUUCUCCAAACCAUGCCUUCCCAGAGAAUCCUGAACUGAAUUUAUAGGU